This 626-nucleotide long non-coding RNA is filed under the name Gallus gallus (chicken). Its description in RNAcentral is "lncRNA (ENSGALG00010011258.1)". The record is from RNAcentral. Lineage: Eukaryota; Metazoa; Chordata; Aves; Galliformes; Phasianidae.
UGACAACUAAAAUCCCCUUGCAGGCCGUCCAUAUCAACCUACGGCAGGUCAGAGCGCGUAACCCCUCCAGAACCGCAAGCCCAGGCCCACACCCUUUCCCCUUGUCAACAUUGUCACUUUAAACAGAACAUCUAGCCUUAUCGCCCAACCUGGAAAUUGACAGUGCAGGAGAAACCGACACCAGUGAGCAGCAUCUGUGCAGCACAUCUCCUCCUCUCUCUCGGCUUACAGGAUAUCCUGCCAAAUGGGAGAAGACAACUGCGUGACCCACCUUGGGCAAGAGCAGCGCGCACUGAUUCGAGCACAGCGGGAGCGGGCGCUGCCGCCUCUCUCAGCCCCGCGCACAAAGAGCAGCCCCAGCCCUGGAGACGCGUAUGAAUUCAGAAUGUCAAAGCUCAUUUUCUCAUCAGCCUCAGAUGCUGUUAAAGCACUGCAAGCUUGACUUCUCUUCUCGGACACGUUGGUUUUACAAUGGCGCAGGGUCAGCGUCCAGCUUACACCAGUGUAAGAAUCUGGAUCCACCCAAUUGAGAUGAUACUUGACCCGGAUGGUUGGAUUUCUGCUGUCAGUACCAAAUCCACAGGUCUGUUGGCCCUGUGUCUGGCAUGUGGCCAGCCUGAAGCCCA